This 1352-nucleotide ribosomal RNA is filed under the name uncultured marine eukaryote. RNAcentral describes it as "SSU rRNA". It matches the Rfam family "Eukaryotic small subunit ribosomal RNA", at positions 411 to 1775 of the family's 1831-position model. The record is from RNAcentral.
CACUUCUAAGGAAGGCAGCAGGCGCGCAAAUUACCCAAUCCUGACUCAGGGAGGUAGUGACAAGAAAUAACAAUAAACCGGCUUAUGCCGGUUUAAUUGGAAUGAGUACAAUUUAAACAUCUUAACGAGGAACAAUUGGAGGGCAAGUCUGGUGCCAGCAGCCGCGGUAAUUCCAGCUCCAAUAGCGUAUACUAAAGUUGUUGCAGUUAAAAAGCUCGUAGUUGGAUUUCUGUGGGGACGGAGCGGCCGGCCGCACAUCGCGGUUCGAGCUAGCGCUUUCCCUACAUCCUGCCGCGAACCGUGCUACCAUUAAUUUGGUGGCGCCGGGGAUCGGCUCGAUUACUUUGAGAAAAAUAGAGUGUUCAAAGCAGGCCACAUGCCUUGAAUAAGUUAGCAUGGAAUAAUAACUAAGGACUUCGGUUCUAUUUUGUUGGUGUUCGGGACUGAAGUAAUGAUUGAUAGGGACAGUUGGGGCGGUCUGUAUUCCAAAGCGAGAGGUGAAAUUCUUAGACCUUCGGAAGACAAACAGCUGCGAAAGCGUUCCGCAAGGAUGUUCCCUUUGAUCAAGAACGAAAGUUGGGGGAUCGAAGACGAUCAGAUACCGUCGUAGUCUCAACUAUAAACUAUACCAGCUAGGGAUCGGCCAACGUUAUUUCAUACCGACUUGGUCGGCACCUUAUGAGAAAUCAAAGCAUCUGGGUUCCGGGGGGAGUAUGGUCGCAAGGCUGAAACUUAAAGGAAUUGACGGAAGGGCACCACCAGCCGUGGAGCCUGUGGCUUAAUUUGACUCAACACGGGAAAACUUACCAGGUCCAGACAUAGUAAGGAUUGACAGAUUGAUAGCUCUUUCUUGAUUCUGUGGGUGGUGGUGCAUGGCCGUUCUUAGUUGGUGGAGUGAUUUGUCUGGUUAAUUCCGUUAACGAACGAGACCCCAGCCUGCUAAAUAGCGCGCGUGAGCUUUGCUCGCGGCGAGCUUCUUAGAGGGACUCUGAUGCGCGAUAGCACAUGGAAGUUUGGGGCAAUAACAGGUCUGUGAUGCCCUUAGAUGUUCUGGGCCGCACACGGGCUACACUGGCGCCUGCAACGAGCAUAUCAGCUGGCCCGAGAGGGUCUUGGCUAAUCUUUUGAACCGGCGCCGUGCUUGGGAUUGACCUUUGCAAUUGUUGGUCAUGCAACGAGGAAUGCCUUGUAAACGCGAGUCAUCAGCUCGCAUUGAAUACGUCCCUGCCCUUUGUACACACCGCCCGUCGCUCCUACCGAUGAAUGUUCCGAUGAAAUUUUCGGAGAGCACCUGUGAACUUGGCUCUGCCUUGCGAACGGGAGGCUCAAAGUCACUUAAAUCUGAACAUUUC